Molecule: ribosomal RNA, 32 nt
Filed under: Yarrowia lipolytica
Lineage: Eukaryota; Fungi; Ascomycota; Dipodascomycetes; Dipodascales
Description: partial 18S ribosomal RNA
Source: RNAcentral
UCCCGUAGGUGAACCUGCGGAAGGAUCCAUUA